UUUCUUAAUGUACCAAAAAUGAGGCAAUUUUUUUCCAAGUUGUGUCUCCACCCUUUCCAAAGGCAUGCUCAUGACACCCACUGAGGCUGUCAUGCUCUGCAGCCCUCUGACAUGGGAACACUGGUUUUACUCAAGUGUACUUUUAACCACAUAUGCAAAAGUAGCACCCACUUUGACUUUUUAUACUCACCCCAAGAUUUGUCCACAAACUGAACUGCAGCUUUUUUAACUGGGUCUUUCUUGUUUGCAAGGGAAAAAAAUUCAUUUGCUGAAAUGGAAACGAGUGUUAAUCACCAAGUUUAAGCCAGACAAGACUAGAUGCAGACCUGCCUAACCAAAACUGCUUACCCUGUACCCGGUUGGCGUGUGGCCCAUAGAGCUGAGCAUUUAGAAAGUCUUUGGCGAGCUGUUGGUGGAGGCCUGUUAAACUCUGAUCUUUUAAGCACACAGCUGCGUAGUUUCCUUUUGACCUAGUUAAAAAGACAGAUGUAAAUCCCUUUACCAUGGUUACAGAACCCAGAACAACACACACAUUAGUGUCAAGCUUUGCUACUUGAGCACAACUGCAGCAGUUGCUGGUUUCUGAUGCUCAGAUGAGCUUGGUGGCAGUAUUAAAAAAAAAUUAAAAAUGGGACCAAAACUC
Long non-coding RNA from Neopelma chrysocephalum (saffron-crested tyrant-manakin), 643 nucleotides. RefSeq lists it as uncharacterized. NCBI's taxonomy places the organism in Eukaryota, Metazoa, Chordata, Aves, Passeriformes, Pipridae. The record is from RefSeq and is a predicted model, not a curated record. The transcript has 2 exons.